GGGCUUAUUUCGGCAGCACAUAUACUAAAACUGGAACGAUACAAAGAAGAUUAGCAUGGCCCUUGUGCAAGGAUGACACACAAAUUUGUGAAGUGUUCCAUAUUUUU
Molecule: small nuclear RNA, 107 nt
Filed under: Catagonus wagneri (Chacoan peccary)
Lineage: Eukaryota; Metazoa; Chordata; Mammalia; Artiodactyla; Tayassuidae
Source: RNAcentral